AUUGAACGCUGGCGGCAUGCCUUACACAUGCAAGUCGAACGGCAGCACGGGUGCUUGCACCUGGUGGCGAGUGGCGAACGGGUGAGUAAUACAUCGGAACGUACCUUAUCGUGGGGGAUAACGCAGCGAAAGCUGUGCUAAUACCGCAUACGCCCUGAGGGGGAAAGCGGGGGAUCGAAAGACCUCGCGCGAUUAGAGCGGCCGAUGCCUGAUUAGCUUGUUGGUGGGGUAAAAGCCCACCAAGGCGACGAUCAGUAGCUGGUCUGAGAGGACGAUCAGCCACACUGGGACUGAGACACGGCCCAGACUCCUACGGGAGGCAGCAGUGGGGAAUUUCGGACAAUGGGGGCAACCCUGAUCCAGCAAUGCCGCGUGAGUGAAGAAGGCCUUCGGGUUGUAAAGCUCUUUUGUCAGGGAAGAAACACCGGCCCUAACACAGUCCGGGAAUGACGGUACCUGAAGAAUAAGCACCGGCUAACUACGUGCCAGCCGCCGCAGUAA
This 501-nucleotide ribosomal RNA is filed under the name uncultured bacterium. RNAcentral's name for it is "partial 16S ribosomal RNA". It matches the Rfam family "Bacterial small subunit ribosomal RNA", at positions 29 to 523 of the family's 1533-position model. The record is from RNAcentral.